Molecule: small RNA, 86 nt
Filed under: Kaistella treverensis
Lineage: Bacteria; Pseudomonadati; Bacteroidota; Flavobacteriia; Flavobacteriales; Weeksellaceae
Description: Chryseobacterium sp. IMMIB L-1519 Flavo-1 RNA
Rfam family: Flavo-1 RNA
Source: Rfam by way of RNAcentral
UUCUAGCCCGGGUGCAGCGGAAAUCCUUUUUUUGCGGCUGAACUCCGCGGAGGAAAAAAAAGAUUGCAGCGGAGACCGGUGAUCAU